ACGAGUCAGCUCUAGCACAGUUUCAGACCAUUACUAUUUGUUAAUCGUAAUUUUGUCUUUGUUUUAGCCAAUUUCAUGGUUAUUGUUUUAAGGUUUUCUUUUAAAAAGUGAUGUCAUGGAAAGAAAUUUUAAAAAGCACUGGGUGGGAAAGUAAGAGAAGUCUUUCCGAAGAAUGUGAGGCACUGAGUUCAAGUCCAGAGAAAGAUGUUCUGCAAAAUAGAUCCAGUUUUUUGUGGGCCCACAGUCUCAGGAAGAGGAAAGAUACUAAUAAAGAUAGAGUCAUAAAUGUGACAAAACACUGAAGGAGUGCAGAAAAUGUCUGGAGAUUAUUAAGAACAGCUGCUGAAAGAGAAGAGUAGAUUUGUGAAAUCCACUUGCUUGGUCUGUAUCUCUUGGU
Pan troglodytes (chimpanzee) is the source of this 397-nucleotide long non-coding RNA. RefSeq lists it as uncharacterized. Lineage: Eukaryota; Metazoa; Chordata; Mammalia; Primates; Hominidae. The transcript is spliced from 3 exons. The record is from RefSeq and is a predicted model, not a curated record.